Molecule: non-coding RNA, 72 nt
Organism: Scenedesmus sp. NREL 46B-D3
Lineage: Eukaryota; Viridiplantae; Chlorophyta; Chlorophyceae; Sphaeropleales; Scenedesmaceae
Source: the annotation of a GenBank genome assembly
GCCCCUAUAGUGUAGUGGUGAUCACCUUGGACUUUGAAUCCAAAAACGCCAGUUCGAACCUGGCUAGGGGCU